UUCCAAUCCGGCCUAGGAGGCCGGAUUGAAAGGUGAAUCCGAACGGAAUGGAUAUUUAUUCGGAUUAAAUUUAUUUUUUCAACUUUUUUUAAUUAAAAUAUGAGUUUAAAUUUAGAAAUUAAAUUUAUAAUUUAUAAUUUUAAUUUAAAUUUGAAUUAAAAAUUAAAAUUUAAUCAAGUAUUUUGAAUCUAAUUUAUAAAUUUGAAUUUAAAUUAAAUUUUAAUUUAUAUAAAGUUUUAUUCAAAUUUUUUUUAAAACUUAAACUAAAUUUAUGGAUUCAAAUUAAAAUUUAAAUUGUAAUUUUAAGUUUGAAUUUGAAUAAAUCGAAAUUUAGUUUUAUAUUUUGAAUUAUCCACUCAACUUCAAAGUUUAAUUUUUUUUAAAAAAAAUUAAUUUAAAAUUUUGACAUUAUUUCAAAAUUGUGAUGUAAAUUUUUAAUAUUUAAUUUUCAAUUUGAAUUUAAGUUAAUUUAUUAUAAAGAUAAAGUUAGUAUGUUAAUUUGAUUACGUUUUUUAUAUCUACCUGAACCAAACACCGACAAUGGAAAUGAUUUAUUCCGAUUCUGAUUCAGGUAGUGAACCAAACAGAAGUCGGUUUUCAAAGAGAAGUUUUCGAGUGGGAAACAAUUUUAAAAGGUUUCGAAUAAUUUUUAUGAAUGAUUAAAUAGAAUUUAAAAUAAAGCUUUCAGGUGGAGAGCACUUUUACUUAGGAUGAUUGUUGUAUUGUACAUUACAUCACCCAGUGCCUAAGGAGUGUUUAGAGGCAUACAUCAUUCCUAAAGAUCAUUAGCUAUAUGGAAAUGCAUCGCAUGAAUUGU
This 817-nucleotide long non-coding RNA is filed under the name Ananas comosus (pineapple). RNAcentral describes it as "long non-coding RNA (ACOM_LNC005259)". Lineage: Eukaryota; Viridiplantae; Streptophyta; Magnoliopsida; Poales; Bromeliaceae. The record is from RNAcentral.